This 483-nucleotide ribosomal RNA is filed under the name uncultured bacterium. RNAcentral's name for it is "bacterial SSU rRNA". It matches the Rfam family "Bacterial small subunit ribosomal RNA", at positions 30 to 535 of the family's 1533-position model. The record is from RNAcentral.
AUUGAACGCUGGCGGCAUGCCUAAUACAUGCAAGUCGAACGGAGAUAGGGGCAACCUUAUUUCAGUGGCGGACGGGUGAGGAAUGCGUCGGAAUCUGCCCUAUGGUGGGGGAUAACACAGGGAAACUUGUGCUAAUACCGCAUAAUGUCGAGAGACCAAAGCAGGGGACCGCAAGGCCUUGCGCGAUAGGAUGAGCCGACGCCCGAUUAGCUUGUUGGUAGGGUAAUGGCCUACCAAGGCGACGAUCGGUAGCUGGUCUGAGAGGAUGAUCAGCCACACUGGGACUGAGACACGGCCCAGACUCCUACGGGAGGCAGCAGUGGGGAAUCUUAGACAAUGGGCGCAAGCCUGAUCUAGCCAUGCCGCGUGAGCGAUGAAGGCCUUAGGGUUGUAAAGCUCUUUCAGUGGGGAAAAUAAUGACUGUACCCACAGAAGAAGCCCCGGCUAACUCCGUGCCAGCAGCCGCAGUAAAGUACAGUGUCC